This 235-nucleotide long non-coding RNA is filed under the name Carica papaya (papaya). RNAcentral's name for it is "long non-coding RNA (CPAP_LNC014172)". The record is from RNAcentral. Lineage: Eukaryota; Viridiplantae; Streptophyta; Magnoliopsida; Brassicales; Caricaceae.
UUGAGGCGAACCGCCAUACUGGCGACGAAGCUAGCGCCGGAGCACGGUGGCACUACUGUGUCGAUAUCCUAAAAUUGGUCGGAAAGGAUUUUCAACAUCGAUUUUAGAUUUUUUAGGUGUUUUCAGGUACGUGACGAAUAUUUUGGAUUCUCAUUGAAAAAAUUCAGGAAUUCGAGACUCAUUCGGAGGCGUAGUGGACAGUUCGACAUUUCAAAACACUGAUCCGAGUGAGGAU